CCUACGGGUGGCUGCAGUGGGGAAUAUUGGACAAUGGGCGAAAGCCUGAUCCAGCCAUGCCGCGUGUGUGAAGAAGGCCUUCGGGUUGUAAAGCACUUUCAGUGGGGAAGAAAGCCUUGGGGCUAAUACCCUCGAGGAAGGACAUCACCCACAGAAGAAGCACCGGCUAACUCCGUGCCAGCAGCCGCGGUAAUACGGAGGGUGCGAGCGUUAAUCGGAAUUACUGGGCGUAAAGCGCGCGUAGGCGGUCUGAUAAGCCGGUUGUGAAAGCCCCGGGAUCAACCUGGGAACGGCAUCCGGAACUGUCAGGCUAGAGUGCAGGAGAGGAAGGUAGAAUUCCCGGUGUAGCGGUGAAAUGCGUAGAGAUCGGGAGGAAUACCAGUGGCGAAGGCGGCCUUCUGGACUGACACUGACGCUGAGGUGCGAAAGCGUGGGUAGCAAACAGGAUUAGAUACCCGUGUAGUC
RNAcentral lists this ribosomal RNA (465 nucleotides) under Vreelandella stevensii. RNAcentral's name for it is "partial 16S ribosomal RNA". It matches the Rfam family "Bacterial small subunit ribosomal RNA", at positions 338 to 795 of the family's 1533-position model. The record is from RNAcentral. Lineage: Bacteria; Pseudomonadati; Pseudomonadota; Gammaproteobacteria; Oceanospirillales; Halomonadaceae.